Long non-coding RNA from Python bivittatus (Burmese python), 294 nucleotides. RefSeq lists it as uncharacterized. The record is from RefSeq and is a predicted model, not a curated record. NCBI's taxonomy places the organism in Eukaryota, Metazoa, Chordata, Lepidosauria, Squamata, Pythonidae.
UGGCGCGGCGUGUCGUUUGGGAUGCCGAGUCGUGCCUGGCAGAGCCUGGUGGAGGUUAGUGUGACUCGGCAGAGCCUGCAGGAGCUCGUUGGAGGCUGAUGGAGCCGGGCUGCACGGCUGAGUGGCGCAGUGAACACCAGAGUCCAGUAUUGUGUCUGAUCCUCAGCUGCUCUUCUGCAACCUCUGGGACCCUCUUUAACUGCCCCAUUGAAUUUCAGGAUCUCACCACUGUGACUCCCAAGAAGGAAAAAAGCAGGACACAAAGCCUUAUGAAAUAAAUGUUUGCUGUGGAAU